GGAACAAGCCAUCGAUGCCCGCACACCCGGGAGGCGGCGGACCCCUCAGGACAACGGUUGCACCCCCCGCGGAGGUCCCUGCUAGCCGGACACCGCUGGCAACCCGGCGCCAAGAGCUGCGCGCAAGUGCGGGCGCCCGCGGGACG
This 146-nucleotide ribosomal RNA is filed under the name Giardia duodenalis. RNAcentral describes it as "Giardia intestinalis partial small subunit ribosomal RNA". Lineage: Eukaryota; Fornicata; Diplomonadida; Hexamitidae. The record is from RNAcentral.